RNAcentral lists this unclassified non-coding RNA (395 nucleotides) under Hevea brasiliensis (rubber tree). The record is from RNAcentral. Lineage: Eukaryota; Viridiplantae; Streptophyta; Magnoliopsida; Malpighiales; Euphorbiaceae.
GGCUGCACACUAUGGAGAAGAAGGAAUGCAGAUGGGAGAAAAGCUUUAGGUUUUAUGCCUGUUACAGAGAAGGAAAAACACAAAAAGCGAGAAAAGAAAACCCCAAAAUUUACUUAGAACUCUAUCCCUUCUCUGCACAAUUGUGAAAAAGUAGAAGAAACUCAAAUGCAUCAAUAGAUCGAAAGACGCAUGGAUUGAAUCAAGUGAAAAGAGAGCUUCUUACAGAUGGCUGAGGCUGGUGCAGAAAUGAUCUCUUCAAUGGUGGUCUUGGCGAUGAUGGAAAUGCCAUGGCCAGCAACGGACUGCCAGAGAGAUUGGAGAGCACCAGAUUGUUGUAAAGGAUCAUUGGGGAGAAGGUUUGCUUGGAUAUGAGAGAAGAGUAUAUCCAUCUUGAU